CGGGAAAUGAGCGCGCGCGGUAGCUCUCUCGCGGCAAAAAGGCAAGCGUGAAAUAAUAAAAAAAUCCUUCGAUGAAUCUCUCCAAGACCUCGUCCUACCAGUAGCAGGCACCUUCGCCUCAGCCGUUGCCGUAUGCGGCAUCGACGAGGAGGAGGACGGGAUGAGCGGCGAGGAUCGGCGAGGACGGGCGGCGGCGAGGACCUGGGAGGAGGGGACAAGCGGUGGUGGGGAUCGGCCACGACGGGACGAGUGGCCGCAGGGAUCGACGAGACUCGUUUAUUGCAGGUCUGUGCAUCCUCUUGCAGUGGUAUAUGCAGACUUUUGCCCCUUUUGUUUUUUUUCCAUAGAUCUUGGCUGUAGAGUACAAGCAGGCCGCAUGUAUUUGGUUCUAGGCUUGCCGCAGGACAGCAGGCUUCGGACGCGGAGGAGCAAGUGAUGAUGUAUAGCUGUGUGCCUGUGUUGGCUAAAUGAUGAGCAAGCUAAUUCUCCAAAAAUUGAUGCAAGCAAGCUUCUUUUGAUGAGCAAACAGAAAGAGGAAGUGAAGUGAACGGUGCUACUUGAUACAAGCUCUGGAGCUAUUUAUAUUAUGAACUUGAAAUGUACUACUAACGGCUGGUUGAGGCAGACAUGCUCAAAUGGUUGCUAGCUGAUUCAAACUUUAAAAAAUAAUAUAUUUCUUCAAGUAGCAGAAUGUUCCUAUGUUUUUCCUUUGGAUGGAUCCAAAUGCACUUUACUUUUGAAUUCCUGAGGUUUGGUUUCCUGUAGGAUUGAAGUGCAUGUGCCUUCCUAAUCCUCCACUUUUCCUAUCCCUAUAAAUUUGUAUUCCUCUGAAACGAAU
Long non-coding RNA from Oryza brachyantha (malo sina), 838 nucleotides. RefSeq lists it as uncharacterized. The transcript is spliced from 3 exons. Lineage: Eukaryota; Viridiplantae; Streptophyta; Magnoliopsida; Poales; Poaceae. The record is from RefSeq and is a predicted model, not a curated record.